This is a long non-coding RNA of Mytilus trossulus (common blue mussel), 362 nucleotides long. RefSeq lists it as uncharacterized. The record is from RefSeq and is a predicted model, not a curated record. The transcript has 3 exons. NCBI's taxonomy places the organism in Eukaryota, Metazoa, Mollusca, Bivalvia, Mytilida, Mytilidae.
AACCGGAUGCAUUCCCAGGUUUGGCAUCUGAAGCUGAUAGUAUGCAGGAUUUGCUGCCGUGAUUUCUGAAAUAUAGUUUCCAAUUGAAUUAUUUCGUUAUAGGCAUGUAUUUUCAUGUACAGGCUGUGUUAUUGAUUGUGAUUCAAGAAAUACUGGUACCAUGGGUACUGUGUGACUAUUGUAACUUGGCUCUAUACAAACCAACCACAGCGAACUGCUACGACACAAGUCAUCCUUGUCAUGCUGUCGAUGGUGACCACAACCAGACAUUUGUUUCCUGUAAGUCUGACCAUCCCUGGUGGCAAGUGGAUCUUGGGAUGUCACACAAAAUAAAUUCCAUCAACAUUUCCUACUUGCAAGGA